CCAGGCGGGCGACUUAUCGCGUUAACUUCGCCACAAAGUGCGCUAGGCACCCAACGGCUGGUCGACAUCGUUUACGGCGUGGACUACCAGGGUAUCUAAUCCUGUUUGCUACCCACGCUUUCGCACCUCAGUGUCAGUGUCAGUCCAGAAGGCCGCCUUCGCCACUGGUAUUCCUCCCGAUCUCUACGCAUUUCACCGCUACACCGGGAAUUCUACCUUCCUCUCCUGCACUCUAGCCUGACAGUUCCGGAUGCCGUUCCCAGGUUGAGCCCGGGGCUUUCACAACCGGCUUAUCAAGCCACCUACGCGCGCUUUACGCCCAGUAAUUCCGAUUAACGCUUGCACCCUCCGUAUUACCGCGGCUGCUGGCACGGAGUUAGCCGGUGCUUCUUCUGCGAGUGAUGUCUUUCCUGGCGGGUAUUAACCGCCAGGCGUUCUUCCUCGCUGAAAGUGCUUUACAACCCGAGGGCCUUCUUCACACACGCGGCAUGGCUGGAUCAGGCUUGCGCCCAUUGUCCAAUAUUCCCCACUGCUGCCUCCCGUAGGC
This 547-nucleotide ribosomal RNA is filed under the name uncultured Halomonas sp. RNAcentral's name for it is "partial 16S ribosomal RNA". The record is from RNAcentral. Lineage: Bacteria; Pseudomonadati; Pseudomonadota; Gammaproteobacteria; Oceanospirillales; Halomonadaceae.